UAGGGAAUAUUAGAAAUGGACGCAAGUCUGAUCUAGCAACACCGCGUGUGUGAAGAAGGCCUUCUGGUUGUAAAGCACUUUUUGGAAGGAUUAGGAAGGAAUGUACUUCCAGAAUAAGUCUCGGCUAACUACGUGCCAGCAGCCGCGGUAACACGUAGGAGGCAAACGUUAUCCGGAUUUACUGGGCGUAAAGCGCGUGUAGGUGGUUCUGUAAGUAGGGCGUGAAAGCUCCUGGCUCAACUGGGAGAGGCCGUUCUAAACUGCAGAGCUAGAGGAUGGUAGAGGGAGGUGGAAUUCCGGGUGUAGCGGUGGAAUGCGCAGAUAUCCGGAGGAACACCAGUGGCGAAAGCGGCCUCCUGGACCAUUCCUGACACUCAGACGCGAAAGCUAGGGUAGCAAACGG
This 403-nucleotide ribosomal RNA is filed under the name uncultured bacterium. Its description in RNAcentral is "bacterial SSU rRNA". It matches the Rfam family "Bacterial small subunit ribosomal RNA", at positions 355 to 775 of the family's 1533-position model. The record is from RNAcentral.